AUAUUGUACAAUGGUCUAAAGCCUGAUCCAGCCAUGCCGCGUGUGUGACGUAGGUCUUCGGAUUGUAAAGCACUUUAAGUUGGGAGGAAAGGCAGUCAGUUAAUACCUUGCUUUUUUUACGUUACCGACAGAAUAAGCAACUUCUAACUUCGUGCAAGCAGCCUCGGUAAUACGAAGUGUGCAAGUGUUAAUCGGAAUUACGGGGCGUAAAGCGCGCGUAGGUGGUUUGUUAAGUUGGAAGUGAAAGCCCCGGGUUGAACCUGGGAACUGCUUUCAAAACUGGCAAGCUAGAGUAUGGGAGAGGGUGGUGGAAUUUCCUGUGUAGCGGUGAAAUGCGUAGAUAUAGGAAGGAACACCAGUGGCGAAGGCGACUACCUGGACUGAUACUGACACUGAGGUGCGAAAGCGUGGGGAGCAAAC
RNAcentral lists this ribosomal RNA (420 nucleotides) under uncultured bacterium. RNAcentral describes it as "partial 16S ribosomal RNA". It matches the Rfam family "Bacterial small subunit ribosomal RNA", at positions 361 to 773 of the family's 1533-position model. The record is from RNAcentral.